GAUCCUAGCUCAGAUUGAACGCUGGCGGCAGGCCUAACACAUGCAAGUCGAACGGUAACAGGAAGCAGCUUGCUGCUUUGCUGACGAGUGGCGGACGGGUGAGUAAUGUCUGGGAAACUGCCUGAUGGAGGGGGAUAACUACUGGAAACGGUAGCUAAUACCGCUAUAACGUCGCAAGACCAAAGAGGGGGACCUUCGGCCGUCUUGCCAUCGGAUGUGCCCAGAUGGGAUUAGCUAGUAGGG
Molecule: ribosomal RNA, 243 nt
Filed under: uncultured bacterium
Lineage: Bacteria
Description: partial 16S ribosomal RNA
Rfam family: Bacterial small subunit ribosomal RNA
Source: RNAcentral